This 253-nucleotide ribosomal RNA is filed under the name uncultured bacterium. RNAcentral describes it as "partial 16S ribosomal RNA". It matches the Rfam family "Bacterial small subunit ribosomal RNA", at positions 524 to 776 of the family's 1533-position model. The record is from RNAcentral.
UACGGAGGAUGCAAGCGUUAUCCGGAAUGAUUGGGCGUAAAGCGUCCGCAGGUGGCUGUGUAAGUCUGCUGUCAAAGAGCGAAGCUCAACUUCGUAAAGGCAGUGGAAACUACACGGCUAGAGUGCGUUCGGGGCAGAGGGAAUUCCUGGUGUAGCGGUGAAAUGCGUGGAGAUCAGGAAGAACACCGGUGGCGAAGGCGCUCUGCUAGGCCGCAACUGACACUGAGGGACGAAAGCUAGGGGAGCGAAUGGG